This 501-nucleotide ribosomal RNA is filed under the name uncultured bacterium. Its description in RNAcentral is "partial 16S ribosomal RNA". It matches the Rfam family "Bacterial small subunit ribosomal RNA", at positions 30 to 523 of the family's 1533-position model. The record is from RNAcentral.
AUUGAACGCUGGCGGAAUGCUUUACACAUGCAAGUCGAGCGGGGGAAGGUAGCUUGCUACCGGACCUAGCGGCGGACGGGUGAGUAAUGCUUAGGAAUCUGCCUAUUAGUGGGGGACAACAUCUCGAAAGGGAUGCUAAUACCGCAUACGUCCUACGGGAGAAAGCAGGGGAUCGUCGGACCUUGCGCUAAUAGAUGAGCCUAAGUCGGAUUAGCUAGUUGGUGGGGUAAAGGCCUACCAAGGCGACGAUCUGUAGCGGGUCUGAGAGGAUGAUCCGCCACACUGGGACUGAGACACGGCCCAGACUCCUACGGGAGGCAGCAGUGGGGAAUAUUGGACAAUGGGGGGAACCCUGAUCCAGCCAUGCCGCGUGUGUGAAGAAGGCCUUAUGGUUGUAAAGCACUUUAAGCGAGGAGGAGGCUACUUUAGUUAAUACCUAGAGAUAGUGGACGUUACUCGCAGAAUAAGCACCGGCUAACUCUGUGCCAGCCGCCGCCGUAA